AAAAAAGUAAUCAGGUUUUGCUCAAGCGAGUCCCAUUCUCCUUCCCACCAGCAUUUUCUUUGUUGAUCUUCAAACAAAGAAAAUGCUGGUGGGAAGGAGAAUGGGACUUGCUUGAGCAAAACCUGAUUACUUUUUU
Molecule: non-coding RNA, 136 nt
Organism: Podarcis lilfordi (Lilford's wall lizard)
Lineage: Eukaryota; Metazoa; Chordata; Lepidosauria; Squamata; Lacertidae
Source: the annotation of a GenBank genome assembly